UAGAAGUUACUUCGGUACAUCGGUGACAGGUGGUGCAUGGUUGUCGUCAGCUCGUGUCGUGAGAUGUUGGGUUAAGUCCCGCAACGAGCGCAACCCCUAUUGUUAGUUGCCAUCAUUCAGUUGGGCACUCUAGCGAGACUGCCGGUAAUAAACCGGAGGAAGUGGGGAUGACGUCAAAUCAUCAUGCCCCUUAUGACCUGGGCUACACACGUGCUACAAUGGUUGGUACAACGAGUUGCGAGUCGGUGACGGCGAGCUAAUCUCUUAAAGCUAAUCUCAGUUCGGAUUGUAGGCUGCAACUCGCCUACAUGAAGUCGGAAUCGCUAGUAAUCGCGGAUCAGCACGCCGCGGUGAAUACGUUCCCGGGCCUU
Molecule: ribosomal RNA, 371 nt
Filed under: uncultured Streptococcus sp.
Lineage: Bacteria; Bacillati; Bacillota; Bacilli; Lactobacillales; Streptococcaceae
Description: bacterial SSU rRNA
Rfam family: Bacterial small subunit ribosomal RNA
Source: RNAcentral